Molecule: ribosomal RNA, 272 nt
Filed under: uncultured Smithella sp.
Lineage: Bacteria; Pseudomonadati; Thermodesulfobacteriota; Syntrophia; Syntrophales; Smithellaceae
Description: partial 16S ribosomal RNA
Rfam family: Bacterial small subunit ribosomal RNA
Source: RNAcentral
CUUAAUUGCCAUCAUUCAGUUGGGCACUUUAGAGAGACUGCCGGUGUUAAGCCGGAGAAGGUGGGAUGACGUCAAGUCCUCAUGGCCUUUAUGUCUAGGGCUACGACACGUGCUACAAUGGGUGGUACAAAGAGCAGCUAACUCGCGAGAGUAUGCAAAUCUCAAAAAGCCAUCCUCAGUUCGGAUUGGAGUCUGCAACUCGACUCCAUGAAGUUGGAAUCGCUAGUAAUCGCGGAUCAGCAUGCCGCGGUGAAUACCGGUUCCCGGGCUUU